AUAAAUUACCCUGCGGAGUUGUCAGCUGUGCUUGGAGGCAAAGGGGCUGGGCUUUUUGUCCUCCCACACUAGCCACUCACCUCUACCAAGCUUCAGAAUUCUGAAGAGGCUGCUCCAGUGCAUACCAAUUGCAUAAUAAAGAGAGGGCAAUCCUCUGAGUGUCCCAAACACAAGCUGGUAUCAAAGCAUGCAGAAGAUUGGGGGAUGAGCAUACAGAGCUGAUAAAAAGAAUCCAAGGAGAUCUGGGCAGAAGCUUUCACUAUGUCCUUUUAAAAAGAUACCUUUUAAAGAAGAGGACAUGCUGCCACCUAUUGAAACAACGCAAAUACAUACAGACACCCAGUUCUAAGAACAUCAGGACCUUGUCACCCCGUACCCGGCGAAAAGCAAACAAUGUAAAUUCUAAAAAAAAUUCUCAACUUUUUCUAUCCUGGACUUUACAAAGAUUUCCGCUACCUAAAUCAGUUCUAAAAGGAGCCUCAGGGCCAGGAAAAUCAUUUCUUCUUGGACCCACAGAACUUAAGUGUGAAGAACAGGACUGUUUGAAACAUGCUGUGACAUACCUUUCGGGAUGGACCUGCUCACACAGAAACAGCAGAGAAGGGAGCUCGCAGGAUCCUGAAACUGGCAGAAUGCCUGGUCACUGGCUCUUGGCUUACAGUCUAAAGGAGCUUGCCUGGAGUCUUAGAUGACAAUGUGUCUGUGUUGGGAGGUGGGGCCUAAUGGGAGGCGUUUGGGUCACGGAGGUAAAUCUCUCAUGAAAGGCUUGGUGCUGUUCUCAUGGUAGUGAGUUCUCACUCUGGCAAGACUGAACUAAUUCCCAUAAUAGUGGUUUGUUAUAAAGCCAACGAUUCCCCUUGGGUUUUGUGUCUUUUGCACAUGUCUAUUUCUCCAUUGACCUUCUCCACCAUGUUAUGUCCCAGCAUGAAAGACCUCACCAGAAGCCAGGGCCACGCCCUCGAACUUUCCAGUCUGUAUAAUC
RNAcentral lists this long non-coding RNA (982 nucleotides) under Homo sapiens (human). Its description in RNAcentral is "HSALNT0077132". The record is from RNAcentral. Lineage: Eukaryota; Metazoa; Chordata; Mammalia; Primates; Hominidae.